This 29-nucleotide non-coding RNA is filed under the name Rattus norvegicus (Norway rat). The record is from RNAcentral. Lineage: Eukaryota; Metazoa; Chordata; Mammalia; Rodentia; Muridae.
GAACAUGUGGGUCUCAAUGUUUUAAGAGC